This 632-nucleotide ribosomal RNA is filed under the name Streptomyces sp. Its description in RNAcentral is "bacterial SSU rRNA". It matches the Rfam family "Bacterial small subunit ribosomal RNA", at positions 54 to 705 of the family's 1533-position model. The record is from RNAcentral. Lineage: Bacteria; Bacillati; Actinomycetota; Actinomycetes; Kitasatosporales; Streptomycetaceae.
CAUGCAGUCGAACGAUGAACCACUUCGGUGGGGAUUAGUGGCGAACGGGUGAGUAACACGUGGGCAAUCUGCCCUUCACUCUGGGACAAGCCCUGGAAACGGGGUCUAAUACCGGAUAACACUUCCACUCUCCUGGGUGGAGGUUAAAAGCUCCGGCGGUGAAGGAUGAGCCCGCGGCCUAUCAGCUUGUUGGUGAGGUAAUGGCUCACCAAGGCGACGACGGGUAGCCGGCCUGAGAGGGCGACCGGCCACACUGGGACUGAGACACGGCCCAGACUCCUACGGGAGGCAGCAGUGGGGAAUAUUGCACAAUGGGCGAAAGCCUGAUGCAGCGACGCCGCGUGAGGGAUGACGGCCUUCGGGUUGUAAACCUCUUUCAGCAGGGAAGAAGCGAAAGUGACGGUACCUGCAGAAGAAGCGCCGGCUAACUACGUGCCAGCAGCCGCGGUAAUACGUAGGGCGCAAGCGUUGUCCGGAAUUAUUGGGCGUAAAGAGCUCGUAGGCGGCUUGUCACGUCGGGUGUGAAAGCCCGGGGCUUAACCCCGGGUCUGCAUUCGAUACGGGCUAGCUAGAGUGUGGUAGGGAGAUCGGAAUUCCUGGUGUAGCGGUGAAAUGCGCAGAUAUCAGGAGGA